GACGAACGCUGGCGGCGUGCUUAACACAUGCAAGUCGAACGGAAAGGCCCUGCUUUUGUGGGGUGCUCGAGUGGCGAACGGGUGAGUAACACGUGAGUAACCUGCCCUUGACUUUGGGAUAACUUCAGGAAACUGGGGCUAAUACCGGAUAGGAGCUCCUGCUGCAUGGUGGGGGUUGGAAAGUUUCGGCGGUUGGGGAUGGACUCGCGGCUUAUCAGCUUGUUGGUGGGGUAGUGGCUUACCAAGGCUUUGACGGGUAGCCGGCCUGGGAGGGUGACCGGCCACAAUGGGACUGAGGUACGGCCCAGACUCCUACGGGAGGCAGCAGUGGGGAGUAUUGCACAAUGGGCGGAAGCCUGAUGCAGCAACGCCGCGGGCGGGAUGACGGCCUUCGGGUUGUGAACCGCUUUCGCCUGUGACGAAGCGUGAGUGACGGUAAUGGGUAAAGAAGCACCGGCUAACUACGUG
RNAcentral lists this ribosomal RNA (468 nucleotides) under uncultured bacterium. Its description in RNAcentral is "partial 16S ribosomal RNA". It matches the Rfam family "Bacterial small subunit ribosomal RNA", at positions 28 to 507 of the family's 1533-position model. The record is from RNAcentral.